Molecule: non-coding RNA, 73 nt
Organism: Canis lupus familiaris (dog)
Lineage: Eukaryota; Metazoa; Chordata; Mammalia; Carnivora; Canidae
Source: Rfam
ACCUGGCUGGCUCAGUUGAUAGAGCAAGUGACUUCGGAUCUUGAGGUUGUGGGUUUGAAACCCACAUUGGGUA